Molecule: ribosomal RNA, 253 nt
Filed under: uncultured bacterium
Lineage: Bacteria
Description: partial 16S ribosomal RNA
Rfam family: Bacterial small subunit ribosomal RNA
Source: RNAcentral
UACGGAGGGUGCAAGCGUUAUCCGGAUUCACUGGGUUUAAAGGGUGCGUAGGCGGGCAGGUAAGUCAGUGGUGAAAUCUCCGGGCUUAACCCGGAAACUGCCGUUGAUACUAUCUGUCUUGAAUAUCGUGGAGGUAAGCGGAAUAUGUCAUGUAGCGGUGAAAUGCUUAGAUAUGACAUAGAACACCGAUAGCGAAGGCAGCUUGCUACACAGUCAUUGACACUGAGGCACGAAAGCGUGGGGAGCAAACAGG